RNAcentral lists this long non-coding RNA (215 nucleotides) under Hordeum vulgare. Its description in RNAcentral is "long non-coding RNA (HVUL_LNC001379)". The record is from RNAcentral. Lineage: Eukaryota; Viridiplantae; Streptophyta; Magnoliopsida; Poales; Poaceae.
UUUAUGCCAAAACAGGGGGAAACACCGACCGACACGCGCGGCAGACAAAACCAGUGGCACUGUGCUCCCCUACAUGCCGUCCUGCGUGACUGGAGACGGAGUCCCUGUGCGACGUGAAGGGGAUCCGAUGCCGUGGCGGCGUGCCGGGUCGUGGAGGAGCGAGCGCGCAUGCCGUGCGCAUAGGACCAUGCGCGUGCACGAUGCAUGGAUCAUGG